GUGGGCUUACACUUCUUGCAUGACAGGCAGACAUGUCCAGGCUUGAAUGGAAAGGGGUGAUCUUGAAUACGUAAAUAUGUCAGAAGACCAAGAGAUCACGGUGAAAAGCUGGUGGAUAGGAUGUUAGAAGGGAACAACAAUAAUGGAAAAGCUAGGGGAAUGCUGCUCACGUGGGGCAAGCCUUUGAGCAAGCUCGAUGGCCACAUGCAUUUGGGUUCUUGCUCACUCUCCCUGUGGCUGAGAUGCAGGCUCUCCAUGUUCAUCUAAAAAACUGCACCAAGAUGAAAAUACCCAAAAACUGUACCAGAGACUUGGCUUAUGCAUUGUUUAUGUUUCCACUCAAGAACUGUGUGUAUCUCUGGGAGGAUAGAUUGCACACUUUGCCACUUCUGUAAGAAAUCAAGUCUAGUGCUUGGUGAACCCUUACUGUGAUCUAGAUUGGUACCUCGGAGGUUUCAGAAUAGCAAAUGUCAUUCUGAGCCGAAGAUGGGCCUACUGGAGGAGCGGUCAACUGUGCUGACACCAGACAUCCUGAAUCAAUUGUGGAUUUAUGCAACGAAGCGACAACAGGCAUCAGGACUUUGCAACAUCUCCAG
Ictidomys tridecemlineatus (thirteen-lined ground squirrel) is the source of this 596-nucleotide non-coding RNA. The record is from RefSeq and is a predicted model, not a curated record. NCBI's taxonomy places the organism in Eukaryota, Metazoa, Chordata, Mammalia, Rodentia, Sciuridae.